This 497-nucleotide ribosomal RNA is filed under the name uncultured bacterium. Its description in RNAcentral is "partial 16S ribosomal RNA". It matches the Rfam family "Bacterial small subunit ribosomal RNA", at positions 28 to 507 of the family's 1533-position model. The record is from RNAcentral.
GAUGAACGCUGGCGGCGUGCCUAAUACAUGCAAGUCGAGCGAACGGACGAGAAGCUUGCUUCUCUGAUGUUAGCGGCGGACGGGUGAGUAACACGUGGAUAACCUACCUAUAAGACUGGGAUAACUUCGGGAAACCGGAGCUAAUACCGGAUAAUAUUUUGAACCGCAUGGUUCAAAAGUGAAAGACGGUCUUGCUGUCACUUAUAGAUGGAUCCGCGCUGCAUUAGCUAGUUGGUAAGGUAACGGCUUACCAAGGCAACGAUGCAUAGCCGACCUGAGAGGGUGAGCGGCCACACUGGAACGGAGACAGGGUCCAGAGUCCUACGGGAGGCAGCAGUAGGGAAUCUGCCGCAAGGGGCGAAAGCCUGACGGAGCAACGCCGCGGGAGUGAUGAAGGUCUUCGGAUCGUAAAACUCUGUUAUUAGGGAAGAACAUAUGUGUAAGUAACUGUGCACAUCUUGACGGUACCUAAUCAGAAAGCCACGGCUAACUACGUG